Molecule: ribosomal RNA, 467 nt
Filed under: uncultured bacterium
Lineage: Bacteria
Description: partial 16S ribosomal RNA
Rfam family: Bacterial small subunit ribosomal RNA
Source: RNAcentral
GACGAACGCUGGCGGCGUGCUUAACACAUGCAAGUCGAACGGAAAGGCCCUGCUUUUGUGGGGUGCUCGAGUGGCGAACGGGUGAGUAACACGUGAGUAACCUGCCCUUGACUUUGGGAUAACUUCAGGAAACUGGGGCUAAUACCGGAUAGGAGCUCCUGCUGCAUGGUGGGGGUUGGAAAGUUUCGGCGGUUGGGGAUGGACUCGCGGCUUAUCAGCUUGUUGGUGGGGUAGUGGCUUACCAAGGCUUUGACGGGUAGCCGGCCUGAGAGGGUGACCGGCCACAUUGGGACUGAGAUACGGCCCAGACUCCUACGGGAGGAAGCAGUGGGGAAUAUUGCACAUUGGGCGGAAGCCUGAUGCAGCAACGCCGCGUGCGGGAGGACGGCCUUCGGGUUGUAAACCGCUUUCGCCUGUGACGAAGCGUGAGUGACGGUAAUGGGUAAAGAAGCACCGGCUAACUACGU